GACUCAGUAGCUCAGCUGGAUAGAGUGUUUGACUACGAAUCAAAAGGUCGGGGGUUCGAAUCCCUCCUGGGUCACCA
Molecule: transfer RNA, 77 nt
Filed under: Veillonella sp. oral taxon 780
Lineage: Bacteria; Bacillati; Bacillota; Negativicutes; Veillonellales; Veillonellaceae
Also listed under: 4 other names
Description: tRNA-Arg
Rfam family: tRNA
About the family: Transfer RNA (tRNA) molecules are approximately 80 nucleotides in length. Their secondary structure includes four short double-helical elements and three loops (D, anti-codon, and T loops).
Source: RNAcentral